Long non-coding RNA from Meriones unguiculatus (Mongolian gerbil), 1022 nucleotides. RefSeq lists it as uncharacterized. The record is from RefSeq and is a predicted model, not a curated record. NCBI's taxonomy places the organism in Eukaryota, Metazoa, Chordata, Mammalia, Rodentia, Muridae. The transcript has 3 exons.
UACGGUUCAGAUCAUUUCCUGCUGUGGAUGAAGGACACGGAAACUAGGAUUGCUGAGCACCAUCACAGGCAGCGGCACGGCCCCAGGAGCUGGCAAUCAGUAAAUACUGGUUGAAUGAAUGGUACCUUCGGCUCCCAAGUCCAGAUGCGCAUUUACUAGUAGCCGGCGGAAAAGGUGAAGACUCCCCAAACCCAGCACUGCGCCGGCGUGAUUUAUGUGCGCACAUGAAGGGAAACCAUGCAAAAAGCCCAGCUGUGUGGCGCACACUUGUGGUACUGGCACUGGGAGGCAGAGCCAGGAGGAUCCCGGGACUCCCUGGCCAGACAACCUCGCCUAAUUGGUGAGCUCCAGGACAACGAGAGACCCUGCCUCAAAACCAAACCAAAACAAGGUUAACUUUGUCACUUUUACAUAAACUAAGAGAAUUUCGAUGAGCGACUGCCUACAUUGGGUUGGCCUGUAUGCAUGUCUGUGAGAGAUUGACUGAGACAGUUGAUCUAGGAAGACUCAGGCCAGUGCCGGUGGCGCCAUUCCCUAGGCGUGGAGUCCUGGGCUGUAUUAAGAGUGGAGGAAUGGAGCUAGGCACUAACAAGCAACCUAGCAGCAUGUGUGUGUGUUCACUUUUCCCUGCUCUUGACAGUAGCUGUGAUGUGGCUGUUUGCAGUCCUGCCUUGAUUUCCCCACUAUGAUAGACUGGGACCUGGAAUUGUAGGCUGAAAGAAACCCCUUUGACCUCUAAGUUACCUUUGUCAGAGUAUUUUAUCGCUGCAACAGAAAUGAUAUGAGAACAAUGCUUAUCAUCAUCACCAUCAUCAUCAUCAUCAUCAUCAUCAUCAUCAUCAUCAUCAUCAUUGCUCUCUCAUAGCAAGUGGCUACUUUGAUAUGGUCCUUGCCCAGGACUGUGACAGAAGACAGCCUCAUGGGCCACUUGGUGCUCAGCCUCCGGGAGCCACAGUGACGCUUUCCAAGCAUUUUUUUUCCUGACAAAAAUGCUGAUGUUGAACAAUCUUGCAUAAAACUUU